This 468-nucleotide ribosomal RNA is filed under the name uncultured bacterium. Its description in RNAcentral is "partial 16S ribosomal RNA". It matches the Rfam family "Bacterial small subunit ribosomal RNA", at positions 28 to 507 of the family's 1533-position model. The record is from RNAcentral.
GACGAACGCUGGCGGCGUGCUUAACACAUGCAAGUCGAACGGAAAGGCCCUGCUUUUGUGGGGUGCUCGAGUGGCGAACGGGUGAGUAACACGUGAGUAACCUGCCCUUGACUUUGGGAUAACUUCAGGAAACUGGGGCUAAUACCGGAUAGGAGCUCCUGCUGCAUGGUGGGGGUUGGAAAGUUUCGGCGGUUGGGGAUGGACUGGCGGCUUAUCAGCUUGUUGGUGGGGUAGUGGCUUACCAAGGCUUUGACGGGUAGCCGGCCUGGGAGGGUGACCGGCCACAUUGGGACUGAGGUACGGCCCAGACUCCUACGGGGGGCAGCAGUGGGGAAUAUUGCACAAUGGGCGGAAGCCUGAGGCAGCAACGCCGCGUGCGGGAUGACGGCCUUCGGGUUGUAAACCGCUUUCGCCUGUGACGAAGCGUGUGUGACGGUAAUGGGUAAAGAAGCACCGGCUAACUACGUG